AAUUGAAGUUCAUACCAAAAAGCACACAAUUGUCAAAUAUCAAUUGGAAUGACUAAACAUUCAAUUAAAUUCAUGGUUGAAACAGUCAAACAGUUUUAACUACUAAGGCAGCAUUUCAAAAUUGCACAUUUUUAUCAUAACAACAAACAAACAUUUUAUACUAAAAUAUAUAAUUUUCAAAUCUAGCCUAAAUGUUUUGCUAAAACAAUAAUGUUCAUGUACAUUCUGUAUAAAUAUUUAGAAAACAUUUGGUCUAAACUCAAAACCUUUCAUCUGUACAUGGUAAUAUCAAUGUUUAACUAAUGGAAUCCAGUCACUGUUUAAGGAGAAGUUUUUCUAUAAAAAGGUAUUUAUAACAAAGCAAUCAAUUAGAAAAACGAAAACCUUUUCAAUACUGAAUUGAAA
Molecule: long non-coding RNA, 405 nt
Filed under: Mytilus galloprovincialis (Mediterranean mussel)
Lineage: Eukaryota; Metazoa; Mollusca; Bivalvia; Mytilida; Mytilidae
Source: RNAcentral